This 630-nucleotide ribosomal RNA is filed under the name halophilic archaeon. Its description in RNAcentral is "bacterial SSU rRNA". It matches the Rfam family "Archaeal small subunit ribosomal RNA", at positions 109 to 738 of the family's 1478-position model. Lineage: Archaea; Methanobacteriati; Methanobacteriota; Halobacteria; Halobacteriales. The record is from RNAcentral.
CUACCCUUCGGAACACAAUACCCUCGGGAAACUGAGGCUAAUAGUGUAUACCACAGUCCACCUGGAAUGAGGACUGUGCCAAACGCUCCGGCGCCGAAGGAUGUGGCUGCGGCCGAUUAGGUAGACGGUGGGGUAACGGCCCACCGUGCCAAUAAUCGGUACGGGUCAUGAGAGUGAGAACCCGGAGACGGAAUCUGAGACAAGAUUCCGGGCCCUACGGGGCGCAGCAGGCGCGAAACCUUUACACUGCACGACAGUGCGAUAAGGGAAUCCCAAGUGCGUAGGCAUAGAGCCUACGCUUUUGUCCACCCUAGGGCGGUGGACGAAUAAGGGCUGGGCAAGACCGGUGCCAGCCGCCGCGGUAAUACCGGCAGCCCAAGUGAUGGCCGAUUUUAUUGGGCCUAAAGCGUCCGUAGCUGGCCGCACAAGUCCAUCGGAAAAUCCACCCGCUCAACGGGUGGGCGUCCGGUGGAAACUGUGUGGCUUGGGACCGGAAGGCGCGACGGGUACGUCCGGGGUAGGAGUGAAAUCCCGUAAUCCUGGACGGACCGCCGAUGGCGAAAGCACGUCGCGAGAACGGAUCCGACAGUGAGGGACGAAAGCUAGGGUCUCGAACCGGAUUAGAUACCC